Molecule: unclassified non-coding RNA, 240 nt
Filed under: soil metagenome
Description: partial contains 5.8S ribosomal RNA, internal transcribed spacer 2, and large subunit ribosomal RNA
Source: RNAcentral
AACGAGGCCGACCUGCGGCUGAGUUACCUGCGGAGGGAUCAUUACACAAUACAAUAUGAAGGCUGUCCGCAGCUGGAGUAUUUUAUUACCCUUGUCUUUUGCGCACUUGUUGUUUCCUGGGCGGGUUCGCUCGCCACCAGGACCACCAAAUAAACCUUUUUUAUGCAGUUGCAAUCAGCGUCAGUACAAACAAUGUAAAUCAUUUACAACUUUUAGCAACGGAUCUCAGAUCGGAAGAGC